MicroRNA precursor from Pan troglodytes (chimpanzee), 100 nucleotides. Lineage: Eukaryota; Metazoa; Chordata; Mammalia; Primates; Hominidae. The record is from Ensembl.
GAGGUGGGAGGAUCACUUGAGCCUGGGAGGUUGAGGGUGCAGUAAGCUGUGAUCAUGCCACUGCACUCCAGCCUGAGUGACAGAGUGAGACCCUGUCUCA